RNAcentral lists this ribosomal RNA (394 nucleotides) under uncultured bacterium. Its description in RNAcentral is "partial 16S ribosomal RNA". It matches the Rfam family "Bacterial small subunit ribosomal RNA", at positions 523 to 918 of the family's 1533-position model. The record is from RNAcentral.
AUACGUAGGGGACGAGCGUUGUCCGGAAUUACUGGGCGUAAAGGGCGCGCAGGCGGAUAUUUAAGUCAGCUGUAAAAGGCAUGAGCUCAACUCAUGUAUGCGGUUGAAACUGGGUAUCUAGAGUGCUGGAGAGGUAGGCGGAAUUCCCGGGGUAGCGGUGAAAUGCGUAGAUAUCGGGAAGAACACCAGGGGCGAAGGCGGCUUACUGGCCAGCAACUGACGCUGAGGCGCGAAAGCCAGGGGAGCGAACGGGAUUAGAUACCCCGGUAGUCCUGGCCGUAAACGAUGAAUGCUAGGUGUGGGUGUCGAGAGGCAUCCGUGCCGGAGUUAACGCGAUAAGCAUUCCGCCUGGGGAGUACGAUCGCAAGAUUGAAACUCAAAUGAAUUGGCGGGG